RNAcentral lists this ribosomal RNA (546 nucleotides) under uncultured bacterium. RNAcentral describes it as "bacterial SSU rRNA". It matches the Rfam family "Bacterial small subunit ribosomal RNA", at positions 777 to 1301 of the family's 1533-position model. The record is from RNAcentral.
AAUAGAUACCCCGGUAGUCCACGCUGUAAACGAUGCGCACUAGGUGUCGGGGGUAUCGACCCCCUCGGUGCCGCAGCUAACGCGAUAAGUGCGCCGCCUGAGGACUACGGCCGCAAGGCUAAAACUCAAAGGAAUUGACGGGGGCUCACACAAGCGGUGGAGCAUGUGGCUUAAUUCGAGGCUACGCGAAGAACCUUAUCCCAGACUUGACAUGUGCGAUAGCGGUGGGCGGUAACUCCCGGAAACGGGGUGUGAUUCCUCGCAAGAGGAGGACCCACUACAGGUGCUGCAUGGCUGUCGUCAGCUCGUGUCGUGAGAUGUCGGGUUAAGUCCCAUAACGAGCGAAACCCUUACCUUUAGUUACUACGGGUCAUGCCGAGGACUCUAAAGGGACUGCCGGUGUCAAACCGGAGGAAGGCGGGGAUGACGUCAAGUCCUCAUGGCCUUUACGUCUGGGGCUGCACACGUGCUACAAUGGCGUGAACAAAGGGAAGCCAAGGCGCGAGCCGGAGCAAAUCCCAAAAAACACGCCCCAGUUCAGAUCGG